Molecule: ribosomal RNA, 510 nt
Filed under: uncultured bacterium
Lineage: Bacteria
Description: bacterial SSU rRNA
Rfam family: Bacterial small subunit ribosomal RNA
Source: RNAcentral
CUGGCUCAGGAUGAACGCUAGCUACAGGCUUAACACAUGCAAGUCGAGGGGCAGCAUGUGGUUGCUUGCAACCAAUGAUGGCGACCGGCGCACGGGUGAGUAACGCGUAUCCAACCUUCCCCUUAGUAGAGGAUAGCCCGGCGAAAGUCGGAUUAAUACUCUAUGUUCUUCAAUGCGGACAUCUAAGUUGAAGCAAAGAUUUAUCGCUAAGGGAUGGGGAUGCGUCUGAUUAGGUUGCAGGCGGGGUAACGGCCCACCUGGCCUACGAUCAGUAGGGGUUCUGAGAGGAAGGUCCCCCACACUGGUACUGAGACACGGACCAGACUCCUACGGGAGGCAGCAGUGAGGAAUAUUGGUCAAUGGGCGCGAGCCUGAACCAGCCAAGUAGCGCGCAAGGACGACUGCCCUAUGGGUUGUAAACUGCUUUUAUCAGGGAAUAAAGUGAGGCACGCGUGCCUUUUUGUAUGUACCUGAUGAAUAAGGACCGGCUAAUUCCGUGCCAGCCGCCGC